This 1196-nucleotide ribosomal RNA is filed under the name Levilactobacillus brevis. RNAcentral describes it as "bacterial SSU rRNA". It matches the Rfam family "Bacterial small subunit ribosomal RNA", at positions 64 to 1281 of the family's 1533-position model. Lineage: Bacteria; Bacillati; Bacillota; Bacilli; Lactobacillales; Lactobacillaceae. The record is from RNAcentral.
CUACCACUGAUUUCAACAAUGAAGCGAGUGGCGAACUGGUGAGUAACACGUGGGAAAUCUGCCCAGAAGCAGGGGAUAACACCUGACAGGUGCUAGUACCGUAUAACAACAAAAUCCGCAUGGAUUUUGUUUGAAAGGUGGCUUCGGCUAUCACUUCUGGAUGAUCCCGCGGCGUAUUAGUUAGUUGGUGAGGUAAAGGCCCACCAAGACGAUGAUACGUAGCCGACCUGAGAGGGUAAUCGGCCACAGGACUGAGACACGGCCCAAACUCCUACGGGAGGCAGCAGUAGGGAAUCUUCCACAAUGGACGAAAGUCUGAUGGAGCAAUGCCAGAAGGGUUUCGGCUCGUAAAACUCUGUUGUUAAAGAAGAACACCUUUGAGAGUAACUGUUGCAGGGUUGACGGUAUUUAACCAGAAAGCCACGGCUAACUACGUGCCAGCAGCCGCGGUAAUACGUAGGUGGCAAGCGUUGUCCGGAUUUAUUGGGCGUAAAGCGAGCGCAGGCGGUUUUUUAAGUCUGAUGUGAAAGCCUUCGGCUUAACCGGAGAAGUGCAUCGGAAACUUUGAGACUUGAGUGCAGAAGAGGACAGUGGAACUCCAUGUGGGUGGAAUGCGUAGAUAUAUGGAAGAACACCAGUGGCGAAGGCGGCUGUCUAGUCUGUAACUGACGCUGAGGCUCGAAAGCAUGGGUAGCGAACAGGAUUAGAUACCCUGGUAGUCCAUGCCGUAAACAGUGCUAAGUGUUGGAGGGUUUCCGCCCUUCAGUGCUGCAGCUAACGCAUUAAGCACUCCGCCUGGGGAGUACGACCGCAAGGUUGAAACUCAAAGGAAUUGACGGGGGCCCGCACAAGCGGGCAUGUGGUUUAAUUCGAAGCUACGCGAAGAACCUUACCAGGUCUUGACAUCUUCUGCCAAUCUUAGAGAUAAGACGUUCCCUUCGGGGACAGAAUGACAGGUGGUGCAUGGUUGUCGUCAGCUCGUGUCGUGAGAUGUUGGGUUAAGUCCCGCAACGAGCGCAACCCUUAUUAUCAGUUGCCAGCAUAGUUGGGCACUCUGGUGAGACUGCCGGUGACAAACCGGAGGAAGGUGGGGAUGACGUCAAAUCAUCAUGCCCCUUAUGACCUGGGCUACACACGUGCUACAAUGGACGGUACAACGAGUCGCGAAGUCGUGAGGCUAAGCUAAUCUCUCGUUC